This 1883-nucleotide ribosomal RNA is filed under the name human gut metagenome. Its description in RNAcentral is "bacterial LSU rRNA". It matches the Rfam family "Bacterial large subunit ribosomal RNA", at positions 3 to 1980 of the family's 2925-position model. The record is from RNAcentral.
UCAAGCUGAAAAGAGCGCAAGGGGAAUGCCUUGGCAUCAGGAGCCGACGAAGGACGUGACAAGCUGCGAUAAGCCACGGGGAGGAGCAAAUAUCCGUUAUAUCCGUGGAUUUCCGAAUGGGGGAACCCGCUCAAGCAAUACUUGAGCAUCGUGCGUUGAAUCAAAUAGGCGUACGAAGGGAACGGCCUGAACUGAAACAUCUAAGUAGGGCCAGGAAAAGACAUCAACCGAGAUUCCGCUAGUAGUGGCGAGCGAACGCGGAGGAGGCCAAACCGAGGGACGCAAGUUCUUCGGGGUUGCGGACAGACAUCAUGACCAGAGGAAGUUAGGAGAACGGCGUGGGAAAGCCGGCCAUAGAAGGUGAGAGCCCUGUAUCUGAAAAUGAAGACUGGCAGUCUGGAUCCAGAGUACCGCGGGACACGUGAAACCCCGUGGGAAACCGGGUGGACCACCAUCCAAGCCUAAAUACUACCUGAUGACCGAUAGAGGAGCAGUACCGUGAGGGAAAGGUGAAAAGGACCCCGGGAGGGGAGUGAAAGAGAACCUGAAACCUUGUGCUUACAAGCACUCAAAGCACGUUAAAGUGUGAUGAGGUACUUUUUGUAGAACGGUCCGGCGAGUUAUAGUAACGAGCAAGCUUAAGGUAUUGAGUACCGGAGGCGAAGCGAGAGCGAGUCUGAAUAGGGCGUAAAGUUCGUUGCCAUAGACCCGAAACCGGGUGACCUAUCCAUGAGCAGGCUGAAGUGAGAGUAAAAUCUCAUGGAGGGCCGAACCGACCCCCGUUGCAAUGGUGGCGGAUGACUUGUGGAUAGCGGAGAAAUUCCAAUCGAACUCGGAGAUAGCUGGUUCUCCCCGAAAUAGCUUUAGGGCUAGCCUCAUAUUAGAUACCCGGAGGUAAAGCACUGAAUGGCCUAGCGCCCGAGAGGGUAGCGAAGCCUAUCAAACUAAGAAUGCCGGAGUAUUGAUGUAUGGGAGUCAGACAGUGUGAGAUAAAUCUCAUUGUCAAAAGGGAAACAGCCCAGAUCUACAGCUAAGGUCCCAAAUUGUAUCUAAGUGGAAAACGAUGUGGAAAUACGCAGACAACCAGGAUGUUGGCUCAGAAGCAGCCACUCAUUUAAAGAGUGCGUAAUAGCUCACUGGUCGAGCGUCUCUGCGCGGAAAAUUUAACGGGGCUAAGAUACAAACCGAAGCUUAGGCUGCACGUAAGUGCGGGGUAGGGGAGCGUUGUGUAAGCGGAGAAACAGUAGCGUAAGCGGCUGUGGAGUUUACAGAAGUGAGAAUGCCGGAAUGAGUAGCGCGAAUGUGGUGAGAAUCCACAUGGCCGGAAACCUCAGGUUUUUGGAGGAAGGUUCGUCCGCUCCAAGUUAGGCGGGAGCUAAGGUCAGGCCGAAAGGCGUAGCCGAUGCACAGACGGUAGAGAUUCCGUCCCCACCGAAAGAUUUAAGCACAGGGACACUUUUUGAAGGUCGGAGCCAGGUGUUGGUUCUGGUAGUGAUCGAGGGAAAUAUAGUACCGAAGUCCGGCUGGAAGAGAGGCGAGAAAAGCUGUGUGUAUAUCUAAGGUGCCCGUACCGCAAACCGACACAGGUAGGUAGGAAGAAGAUUCUAAGGCCAACGGGAGAAGGGUUGUUAAGGAACUCGGCAAAUUGACCCCGUAACUUCGGGAGAAGGGGUGCUCCAGAGAUGGAGCCGCAGAGAAUCGGCCCAAGCAACUGUUUACCAAAAACACAGGUUUGUGCUAAAUCGAAAGAUGACGUAUACGAGCUGACGCCUGCCCGGUGCUGGAAGGUUAAGAGGAGAUGUGCAAGCAUUGAAUCGAAGCCCCAGUGAACGGCGGCCGUAACUAUAACGGUCCUAAGGUAGCGAAAUUCCUUGUCAGGUAAG